CCCUAUGGGGUGCAGCAGGCGCGAAACCUUUACAAUGCACGAAAGUGUGAUAAGGGGAUUCCAAGUGUGCAUAUACCAUAUGCACUUUUCUUCAGUCUAAAACGCUGGAGGAAUAAGGGGUGGGUAAGUCUAGUGCCAGCCGCCGCGGUAAAACUAGCAUCCCUAGUGGCAGUCACCAUUACUGGGCUUAGAGCGUUCGUAGCUUGUUUCGAAAGUCUCUGCUGAAAUCCUGCGGCUUAACCGUAGGGCUUGGCGGAGAAACUCCGAGACUUGAGGACAGGAGAGGUCGGGGGUACUUCUGGGGUAGGGGUGAAAUCCUAUAAUCCUAGAAGGACCAACAGUGGCGAAGGCGCCCGACAUGAAUGUGCCUGACAGUGAGGAACGAGAGCCAGGGUCGCGAAAGGGAUUAGAUACCCCUGUAGUCCUGGCCGUAAACGAUGUUGACUAGGUGGGGCAUGCUCCUCGUGAUCAUGCUAUGCCGAAGGGAAACCGUUAAGUCAACCGCCUGGGGAGUACGUUCGCAAGAAUGAAACUUAAAGGAAUUGGCGGGGGAGCACUACAAGGGGUGGAAGCUGCGGUUUAACUAGAUUCAACGCUGGACAUCUCACCGGAGGCGACAGCAGUAUGAAGGUCACGCUGAUGGUCUUACCGGACACGCUGAGAGGAAGUGCAUGGCCAAGGCG
This 683-nucleotide ribosomal RNA is filed under the name uncultured archaeon. RNAcentral describes it as "bacterial SSU rRNA". It matches the Rfam family "Archaeal small subunit ribosomal RNA", at positions 321 to 1005 of the family's 1478-position model. The record is from RNAcentral.